CCACAUCGCCACGUGCAUUCUUCCACUUCUUUUUUUCGUUCAAAAUGGACGGUCGCGUUUUCUGCGUGAAUUCUCAGCUAAAAUUUAACAAAAGGGAUGUUGUGCGGUAGCAGGAAAUGGAACUGAAAAUAACUAUGGAAAAAACAGUUUUCAUGGCUUUCUGCCAAAUUUAUCCACACGUGUCCCAAAAGUAAGAUGGUCUAUUUGAAAGUGGAUUGAAAUAGAUUUCGCAUGUGACAAAGAUAGACGGAACGAUUAUGAGACAAAAUAAGUGCUUUUAUGUCUGACUCGUUUUUUCGACAGAUAAAUUCCGGAGAAAUGAAAAUGUUCAGAAUUAAAUGCAGAGGUCUUGGCCGGACUGCUUAAGAAUAAUGAGAAAAUAAGAAAAUGGUUGACAAAAAUAAUAAUUGUUCUCCGAUAAACGAAAUAUGCAAUCCACUGAUACAUCUGGAUCUCUGCUCAGAACAAUGGAACACAGAUAUGCGGUCAAGUUUGGAAAUAUGAGAAAUAUUUUUUGAAGUUCACUCGUUGUUUUGCGAUUGGAAUCUGGGUUUUGGACUUUUUAGUUAAACGGCAACGCAGGAAGAAAUUCGUAAAUAUUGAAUGAAUAAAAUCUAAAAAUGAUGCAGAUACCUGUACUGCACACUAUAUAAAUCAAGCAACGAAGGAAUUUUGCUGAUUAAUAAAGAUUCGCUGAUGAUAUAAACAUAUUACAAAAUAAUACCCGAUUGAGGAUGGCUUAAAAUCUAAAGGUAUUCCCAGUGUUGACUAAGCCAAUUUGCAAUGGAUUUUUAGUACAAGGUCUUCAUAAUAUGCAGUACCCAAGAUGGUUUGGAUUAUAAUAUGUAUUUCCAAGAUGUCUGAAGAUUAUCAUGGAAAAGGUUGUUUACCCUGCAACAUUACUAAGGCUUGAACUAAAGCGGUCUUUUUUAAUGGUUAAAUCCUCAUGAAGGCAGUAAUAUUAAGCUAAUACCUGACAUCUGGCCUUGUGAUUCAGCUGAACUUUUGUGGUAUCAUACGAAUUGCAAAGAUUGACCAACGCCAUUUCACUCCAAACUAAACUAAACUCUGCUGUAGCCAUUUGAACAAAUAAAAACUCAAAAGAUACUGUUUAAUAUAA
Molecule: long non-coding RNA, 1120 nt
Organism: Drosophila mauritiana
Lineage: Eukaryota; Metazoa; Arthropoda; Insecta; Diptera; Drosophilidae
Exons: 17
Source: RefSeq, a predicted model, not a curated record